GGGGGUAUAGCUCAGUGGUAGAGCAUUUGACUGCAGAUCAAGAGGUCCCCAGUUCAAACCUGGGUGCCCCCG
Molecule: non-coding RNA, 72 nt
Organism: Centropristis striata (black sea bass)
Lineage: Eukaryota; Metazoa; Chordata; Actinopteri; Perciformes; Serranidae
Source: the annotation of a RefSeq genome assembly